RNAcentral lists this non-coding RNA (97 nucleotides) under bovine gut metagenome. RNAcentral describes it as "FMN riboswitch (RFN element)". It matches the Rfam family "FMN riboswitch aptamer (RFN element)", at positions 6 to 121 of the family's 138-position model. From Rfam's summary of the family: The RFN element is a highly conserved domain that is found frequently in the 5'-untranslated regions of prokaryotic mRNAs that encode for flavin mononucleotide (FMN) biosynthesis and transport proteins. The record is from RNAcentral.
AAUCUUCAGGGCGGGGUGAGAUUCCCCACCGGCGGUAAAGCCCGCGAGCCUUUUUGGCUGAUUCGGUGAAACUCCGAAGCCGACGGUUAAGUCAUUG